RNAcentral lists this ribosomal RNA (420 nucleotides) under uncultured bacterium. RNAcentral's name for it is "bacterial SSU rRNA". It matches the Rfam family "Bacterial small subunit ribosomal RNA", at positions 355 to 774 of the family's 1533-position model. The record is from RNAcentral.
UAAGGAAUAUUGCUCAAUGGGAGAAAUCCUGAAGCAGCAACGCCGCGUGGAGGAUGAAGGGUCUAUGACUUGUAAACUCCUGUAAAGAAGGAAAAAAUUCCCAUUUGAUGGGAGAUGAUGGUACUUCUGGAGUAAGCCCCGGCUAACUACGUGCCAGCAGCCGCGGUAAUACGUAGGGGGCAAGCGUUGUCCGGAUUUACUGGGUGUAAAGGGAGCUCAGGCGGAUUUGUAAGUCAGAGGUGAAAUCUUACAGCUUAACUGUGAAACUGCCUUUGAUACUGCAAGCCUAGAGUAUGGAAGAGAGUGAUGGAAUAUCUGGUGUAGCAGUGAAAUGCGUAGAUAUCAGAUAGAACACCAAUGGCGAAGGCAGUCACUUGGUCCAUUACUGACGCUAAAGCACGAAAGCGUGGGUAGCAAACA